UAGGUACCUUGGUUGGCUAGUUAGUUAGGUACCUUGGUUGGCUUGUGUGUGUAAUAUACAUUAUUCUGGGAGUCUAGUGUGUGUAAUAUACAUUAUUCUGGGAGUCUAGUGUGUGUAAUAUAAAUUAUUCUGGGAGUCUAUUGUGUGUAAUAUACAUUAUUCUGGGAGUCUCAUGUGUGUAAUAUACAUUAUUCUGGGAGUCUAGUGUGUGUAAUAUACAUUAUUCUGGGAGUCUAGUGUGUGUAAUAUACAUUAUUCUGGGAGUCUAGUGUGUGUAAUAUACAUUAUUCUGGGAGUCUCGUGUGUGUGUAUGAACUAUGUGGAAUAUUUUUGGACCAUCGUCUUCCCUGAAAGCAGGUACUGACAGGAGGACGAGGCCCGUGACGAGAAUGAUGAUCCAGUGACAGUGUUUAAAAACCAUUUACAAUAAAUCUACAGUUCACUGUUGUAAAACCUAUUUACAAUAAAUCUACAGUUCACUGUUGUAAAACCUAUUUACAAUAAAU
This is a long non-coding RNA of Oncorhynchus tshawytscha (Chinook salmon), 506 nucleotides long. The record is from Ensembl. Lineage: Eukaryota; Metazoa; Chordata; Actinopteri; Salmoniformes; Salmonidae.